GCACCAAUUCGUUAAGCAAAUAUUCUAAGACAAUUAAGAAAACAACUAUGACACACACAAUGUUGUGGGAGAAGGGUUGUCGAGGAGAAAUGCUCCGAUUAUACUUUAAACUCUGGCCAAAGUGUCGCCCCACAGACUCACUAUUACAGCAAUAUGAUUAUGAUAUAAUUAUAUGUCCUCAGGGGGUCGUAGUUCCCCCAUGUUGGACUUUACCCAAGGGGUAGUAGAUCCCCGAGAUGGGCAUCCUAAAUGUCCAAGGGGUAGUAGAUCCCCGUGAUGGUCAUUGCUUACUUUAACGUCCAAGGGGUAGUAGAUCCCCGUGAUGGUCAUUGUUUACUUUAAUGUCCAAGGGGUAGUAGAUCCCCGUGAUGGUCAUUGUUUACUAUACAAUACACUGUAUAAUACAUUGAUUUGUGUGAGUCUAUGGGGUUGAGGGUGACCUUUGGGAGCACUCCAUCCCCAAACAACCAAAUAUUUUUAUUUUUACAACCAGACUUGCAAAGUCAAUUCCAAUACUGUAUAUUACAAAAUAUAUAUGUGCCUGUAAUAACAUAUUAACCAGUAACUACUCCAUAAUACUUUAUCUAUAACACUACAUGAAUUGCAUUUCAUGUGAAUCUUGAUGCCGGAUUGCAUAUCAAAACAAUAUUUACAGAUUCUUAUUUAUUAUGUGAUACGGAUUAUGAUAUAGUGGUGCAAAAUCCCUGAAGGGUGGGAUGGGUGGUAAUUUCGAAGUACUUUGCCGCAGAGGUCAUACAAUUUUGCUUGCAAGUGACACAAUGAGGCUUACUGAUCCAAGCAGGAAACUAUGCAGACGAAGGGGUGAAACCUGAUUGGUCUAUUUUCCCGCACAUGCAUGGGAAGAGAUUUGACAAUGGUUUGUUGUUAAUUCAGCCUUGCGCUUUGCACGUGUAUGAUCACAUGAUUCACAGAUUGACCUUUGUACCAGACCU
This is a non-coding RNA of Paramuricea clavata, 953 nucleotides long. NCBI's taxonomy places the organism in Eukaryota, Metazoa, Cnidaria, Anthozoa, Malacalcyonacea, Plexauridae. The record is from the annotation of a GenBank genome assembly.